RNAcentral lists this ribosomal RNA (253 nucleotides) under uncultured bacterium. Its description in RNAcentral is "partial 16S ribosomal RNA". It matches the Rfam family "Bacterial small subunit ribosomal RNA", at positions 524 to 776 of the family's 1533-position model. The record is from RNAcentral.
UACAGGGGGUGCAAACGUUGCUCGGAAUCAUUGGGCGUAAAGCGCACGUAGGCGGUCUGUUAUGUCGGAUGUGAAAGCCCUUGGCUCAACUGAGGAAGUGCAUCCGAAACUGGCAGGCUAGAGUACUAAAGAGGAGAGUGGAAUUCCUGGUGUAGCGGUGGAAUGCGCAGAUAUCAGGAGGAACACCGGUGGCGAAGGCGGCCGCCUGGACAGUUACUGACGCUGAGACGCGAAAGCGUGGGGAGCAAACAGG